GGGCAUGUGGCAAAAUGGUUACCGCGCUUGACUACGAAUCAAGAGACUCCAGGGUUAGGGUUACCGGGUUCAAGUCCUGGAAACCCCC
Zopfochytrium polystomum is the source of this 88-nucleotide non-coding RNA. Lineage: Eukaryota; Fungi; Chytridiomycota; Chytridiomycetes; Chytridiales; Chytridiaceae. The record is from the annotation of a GenBank genome assembly.